AUGACACGUUCAGUAGAAUUCGCGGGUGACUUGAGUGAACAAGGCUCAACACAUUGGACACGGGCUGACUAAUCUCGCACUAGAUGAAAAUAUGUGAUUGUAGCCUAUGCUGUCUGGUUUCAUCUUGCAUUUCUCAUGGUGAGUAAUAAAACAAUCAUUUUUCAAUAAUACUCUACUUUUUCAUAGAUUAUUCAAUACCUGCUUUGUCCAUCGUCCACUCCCCUGGACCUUGAAAGUAUUUCUAGAUUUUAGUGAAAUCUUUCGAUUCAGAAUAAGAAGUAGGCCCUACUGGAAAAAAAUGACCACUCAAGGCUAGAGAAGAAUAAUAAGUGACAAUUAUACUACUUCAAUCAGAUUAUAUUAUUAAGUCAGCCAUUUAAAAGAACAUUAAAAAAUUAUUUCCCCACUGAACCUUGGAUUGAGGAAUAAUUUAAUAAUUUUUAAUAACAUUACUAUUGACGAUCAUUUUCAAUAUUCUUGAAACAAUGUGUGAAGGCCCUGAAAUUUCUUUCUUAGCCAAUUGUAGAUCGGCCAAAUAUUAUUAGCAACUCUAUUAACUCUUUGUACAACCUGAAUUUUUUUCAAUUCUAUGAUGGCGGCCAUGACACACAAGAUGGCUGACUAAUUAUUGUCAGCGUCAGUGUGUGUGGAAGAGAGAGUGAGAGGGAGCACAAGUGAGUGAAUAAGAGAGAAAGAGUGAAUGAGUUAGAGGAGUGAUUAUGGAACACAACAUGUGCAGAAUAAUGGCGGAAGAGAUAUAAAAAACAGGCUGCCUGCACAUGAGGGCCUACACAAAUUUGCGCGGGAUUCUAUGCAUUAUUGAUUGGGAUAGAAUACAGUAUAUUAUUUUGUACUAUAGACUGAUUUACUUUAGUACAUGUGAGUAGCGUAUGUUAGUACAUUCCUAUUGAAACAGUCUUCAGCAAUAAACUUAUGAUGCGAUAUUUUAAAACUACUACUUACUAUCCAACUCAAAAUUACAAGAAAAUCAUCCGUAUCAAUAAUAGAUUCAUAAGUUGUAAAAUCGCUUCCCGGUGGUUCAGAAUCCACCUAAAACUGUAGAUCCAUUCAUCUCUCAUGAAUCCGCAUUCAUCCAUCCGCCUCAUUACCCACGCACAAGCCUAGAGAUCAUGUUGGCAUCACCCUCAGCAUAAAAAUUAACAAUAAUUGUUCUAAAAAGGCGUGUAUUUUUUUAACAGCAGAGAUCUUUCAAAAUGAACUGGUCAUUUGAAACGUAUUGGAUCUAAUCAAACAAAUUUCUAUCAUAUAGUAUUUAAAAAUGUGAACAUUUCUUGUUCUAUAGAUUGUCUAGCGAUUUGCUUUAUAUAUUGUGGAGACAAUUAUUAUUCUGUGGAUGUCAUGAUUGGGCUCUGUAGAUAUACUAAUUACUGCUGUAAUUUAUUACUAUUAAUCUUCAAGAUGACUCAAGUGAUGAAACUUUAACGAAUCUUUGGGGUAAAUCAUAUAUUUUAGUCUAUUAAUUAGGAUCAGGAAAAAAGUUGUGUUAUCAGUAUGUUUUUUAUUUUCUAUGAAUUUUUGAAAAUUCAAGAAAAGUGCCGAUAUGAGUAGAGUAUAAAAGUAGAAAGUAGGAUAUAAUAUUUCAUAACUCAACUUGAUAUUUUUUCCAAUUUUGAGCCUCAGAACACAAUAAAUAAUCUUGUAUCAAACCAUCUCUAUCUAUCCUUGAUAAUGAUUAUCUGUUUCGCUUACCAACUACCCUACUGUUAAGCAGCAGUCUAUCUUUUCCAUGUUGGAAGUUGUUAUAGCAGUGGAGCAGCAUUCAAUUGCGUUGACCUUGACCAGUACCUACUUGUUUUAUUCUGUGGAUUAUCUAGUGGAUAAAUUAUCCGGUAAUAGCACGUUUUGCUCCCGGCAACUUUUCAUUAGGCCAUUUUUAUUUACAAGUUGAAAACUGAAUAAUUAUUAUUAGUAAAGUAAAAGUUGUGGUGUUUUGUCGUUUGAAUUGAUGAUGAUGAUGAUAGAUUGAUGGUGGUGCGGGAGAGGGGAAAGGCAGGUUAGGUUAGCUGGAGGGGAAAUGACGCGCAGUCAGUGCUGCGUCGGGGUUCCCCUCCUAUCCCCUUGGAAUCCCCACUCCUUGCCAAGUUUCCCCUCUUGCCAGCGUGUUUCGGACUUGUUCCACGUAGCGAAUGCCAUUUGCUUGCGUGCCUCAGUUCUGUCAACAUGUGCUCCGCUCUUGGCAGGUGUCCUCUCCACUCACGAGGCUUCUUCUACCUACUCAGUCAACUAUAAUAAUAUUCAUGAAACACCUCACUUAUUAUGUGAUGAAUUUCAAGCUCUGCUCUACCGGUAUGUUUUCUCUGACUCUUGUUAAACAAGUAUUAUCAAGGUAAGGCAGAAUUUAUUCAUAUCUUAGCACGCAUAACAUUAAUACAUAUCUCCGAUAAGCAAUAACGGACUCAAAUUGGAAUCAUUACCACUAAAAUACAAGUUUCAAAUAAAAGUGCAUCUAUAUGUUACACAUUUAUAGUGAGGUAUAUGCAUUAUGUAUAGAUAUCUGAUCUCCUCUUAUCGAUACUGUAAUGCUUUUAAAUUGACAUUCUUCAUCAAAUUGUCCACCUUUAUCAGUAUUGGUAUUCCUCUUAUCUCUUCUCUUAUGUUCUUGUUAAAAUUAUUCGAUCUUCUAUUCUCCUUUAUGUUCAUUUUUCUGCAAAGUUUAAUGUGAACUCGAACUUCUUAGAACUUUUUACAACUUUCAAACUUUCAGUGAGAAGGUUGCAUACACAAUUUAUGCUCACAUGCACUUUAUUCAGGUCUCGCUCCAACGUAUAUGCAAUCACAAAUUUCCAUAAUCCAUCCGAAAUUAUACCUCACCCGGUAAUGCACAUGAAUUCUCGAUUUUAUUGUUGCUCUAUUCAAAUACGGUUGUUGGCAGGCAUGUCCGUCCCUACUUGCUGCAAAGAAAGUCGACGCACUUUCGUGUGCGAGUGCCUGUAGGCCUACUAUAUAGCUAGGGGGGGGGGAGUGGAAUAGGUGUUGUAAAUUUGCCGAGAACAUGCAGGCUAUGUUGUGUGUUGGCACGUGAUAAGUUGACGAGAGCGGGGAGUCUUCAGGGCAACUUCAAGUAGACUAACGUGCUCUCUGUUUUCAGUUUUCUUCCCUCAAAUUUGAUUUCUGCUUCAAACUGACCAGUUUUGGGUCAGAUUUUGGGCCUUAUUCAAGUCAUGUAAUCGAAUAACCGAGAUUACACACUACUGUACCAAAUCAUGUUUUCCCAAAAUACUAGUUGUGUUUUUUAUUCAAUUACGGGUACUAUCAAGCAUAAUAAAUGUAGUUUGUACUGUGCGCACACAAUACGUUUAUUUAUUCAAUUAUUUUAAAGUUUUAUUAAUAUUAUUUUAUUCAAUAUGUAACUCAAUUCAAAUCAUUUUGGCAAGACUUAUUCUGAAUGACUUUUGAAUGAUACAACCUGUAUCACUUUUUAUUUUUUAUUGAAUUCUUAUUGUAUUGUUUUACUGAAUACUUGUCAUGUGGGUGAAAUAAUAGAUCUAUAUUCUUCAAACUAAACCCGUUAUUAUUGUCAUAUUUCAAUGAUUGCAGUAUUAUUUUUACAGCAAUUAUAAUAGUUAACCGAAUAUUAUACUAUCCCAUUAUAUUUUAUAGUACAGAUGUGUGUUUUUAAACUAUGUCGAAUGUGUGAAUGUGCCAUGUGAAUGGAACAGCAUAAUCCACACGAUAGAAGUGCAAUAAUACUCAAUGGUGGUAUAGAGUACUUAGAGUGCAGUGUAAUAGUAUUCUUGUGGUCUUCUCUUCUGGGAAUUUCCCGCUAGUUCCAAUCUUCUUCUAUAGAACGAGAUAUUCUUCUCCUAUCUACAUCGUCAGGACCACAAUCACGUACCCAUCUCUACUAUCUGUUUCUAUCUCUAGCCGUUUGUGGUCUCCCGCCCAAAUUGCUGUUCAAUUUGUUGAAGAACUUUUAUGGUUGCGAUGAUCAAACCUUGAGACGCUUGUCCUACCCCACGCUGCAUUGUUUUCACUCUCUCGCAUCACGCGCGCAAAAUGUGUCCUUUUCAAUUUGCGCCGCGCCGCUAAGUGCACGAUUCUCGGCGCAUUGCUGUUCACGACCGUGUGAGGUCACUCGCCUCAUGAUGGCCUAGUCACUGCUUCACUAAAUGAACCUCUCACAACUGAAUCUGUAAACCUGUAACGACAAAAACCAAAUAUCCACUGCUAAAACUCAGAAGAAACUCCUAAUCAGAAGUUUCCAGUAUGAAUUGAGCAGAGAAUGUUUAGUUGCAUAAUAGUAUUAUUAAAAUGCAACUGAAGGAAUAUCCACACGCUACGUUGUAUUUUAAGGCCUCAUGGAUAAUCUCAGUUGAGAAUGAAAAAUCUCUACAGAGAUGAAUUUGAAUAUCAUAACCUCAAAAUUUCAUGAGAAAAAAUAAUAUUCAUAAGACACAGCUACAUGCU
Long non-coding RNA from Nilaparvata lugens (brown planthopper), 4428 nucleotides. RefSeq lists it as uncharacterized. The record is from RefSeq and is a predicted model, not a curated record. The transcript is spliced from 3 exons. Lineage: Eukaryota; Metazoa; Arthropoda; Insecta; Hemiptera; Delphacidae.